AGCGAACGCUGGCGGCAGGCCUAACACAUGCAAGUCGAACGAACUCUUCGGAGUUAGUGGCGGACGGGUGAGUAACACGUGGGAACGUGCCUUUUGGUUCGGAAUAACUCAGGGAAACUUGUGCUAAUACCGAAUGUGCCCUUCGGGGGAAAGAUUUAUCGCCAUUAGAGCGGCCCGCGUCUGAUUAGCUAGUUGGUGAGGUAACGGCUCACCAAGGCGACGAUCAGUAGCUGGUCUGAGAGGAUGACCAGCCACACUGGGACUGAGACACGGCCCAGACUCCUACGGGAGGCAGCAGUGGGGAAUCUUGCGCAAUGGGCGAAAGCCUGACGCAGCCAUGCCGCGUGAAUGAUGAAAGUCUUAGGAUUGUAAAAUUCUUUCACCGGGGACGAUAAUGACGGUACCCGGAGAAGAAGCCCCGGCUAACUUCGUG
Molecule: ribosomal RNA, 433 nt
Filed under: uncultured bacterium
Lineage: Bacteria
Description: partial 16S ribosomal RNA
Rfam family: Bacterial small subunit ribosomal RNA
Source: RNAcentral